This 82-nucleotide transfer RNA is filed under the name marine actinobacterium MedAcidi-G1. RNAcentral's name for it is "tRNA-Leu". It matches the Rfam family "tRNA". Rfam says of the family: Transfer RNA (tRNA) molecules are approximately 80 nucleotides in length. Their secondary structure includes four short double-helical elements and three loops (D, anti-codon, and T loops). Further hydrogen bonds mediate the characteristic L-shaped molecular structure. tRNAs have two regions of fundamental functional importance: the anti-codon, which is responsible for specific mRNA codon recognition, and the 3' end, to which the tRNAs corresponding amino acid is attached (by aminoacyl-tRNA synthetases). tRNAs cope with the degeneracy of the genetic code in two manners: having more than one tRNA (with a specific anti-codon) for a particular amino acid; and 'wobble' base-pairing, i.e. permitting non-standard base-pairing at the 3rd anti-codon position. RNAcentral also lists the same sequence under 4 other names. Lineage: Bacteria; Bacillati; Actinomycetota; Actinomycetes. The record is from RNAcentral.
GCGGACGUGGCGGAAUUGGCAGACGCACCAGCCUUAGGAGCUGGCGCCGCAAGGCGUGGGGGUUCGAGUCCCCCCGUCCGCA